AUCGCUUCUCGGCCUUUUGGCUAAGAUCAAAGUGUAGUAUCUGUUCUUAUCAGCUUAAUAUCUGAUACGGGGACCAUGUGUCCCCUUCGAUAUUAAACUUAUUUUUGUUAGGGGAUGAAGUUAAGGAGCUUGCUCCGGCUUUAUCAUGGGUUGGCCUAGUAUUGCAGUACCACUAGGAUCGGCCCACUUCCC
This 192-nucleotide small nuclear RNA is filed under the name Eurytemora carolleeae. RNAcentral's name for it is "U2 spliceosomal RNA". It matches the Rfam family "U2 spliceosomal RNA". From Rfam's summary of the family: U2 is a small nuclear RNA (snRNA) component of the spliceosome (involved in pre-mRNA splicing). Complementary binding between U2 snRNA (in an area lying towards the 5' end but 3' to hairpin I) and the branchpoint sequence (BPS) of the intron results the bulging out of an unpaired adenosine, on the BPS, which initiates a nucleophilic attack at the intronic 5' splice site, thus starting the first of two transesterification reactions that mediate splicing. The record is from RNAcentral. Lineage: Eukaryota; Metazoa; Arthropoda; Copepoda; Calanoida; Temoridae.